Molecule: long non-coding RNA, 1049 nt
Organism: Gallus gallus (chicken)
Lineage: Eukaryota; Metazoa; Chordata; Aves; Galliformes; Phasianidae
Source: Ensembl
UACUCCAGCCACUUCUGUCUCUCUUUCACAACAGGAGUCAAUUUCAGACUGCAGAGCACAGAUAUGUCUGGCAGAUACAUCCUUCUUCCUGCAUGGUAAAUAAGUGUCUCAGAGAUUCCGAGCCAUUAAUCUCAUCAAAACCAGAAAUUCUAACCAUUCUGCAAAGGAGAAUGAAUCAAGCUUGGAGCUUUUUGGGAAGAGAAAAGGACAGAAGAAGAACAAAGAGAAGACAUAAGAAUAAAUGAAACGUACUCCAGUUGAUUGGAAGGUCCUAAAGAGAACCUGAAUUUUGGAAUGUUUGACAAGCUUUACAAAACUGACGAGGAUUUCUUCUGAACAAUGGCUGCUCAGUGAGCUGUCUUAGAUAUUAUGGAGCUAUAGAGCAGAGAAUAUACUGGGGAAGCAUGUGCUGUAAGGAACAAUGCAAGUGCUAGAACCGUGCUGCUGUGAAGCACAAACCCACUGGGCUUUGUGCAUGAGGAGCUAUACAGGAGGUGUCACGUCUGCACAAGUACAGCGUUGACUCUCUCAGCAAGCUCUUCCUAACAAUGUUUCUGGUGCAUAUACUGUUGUGAGAAGCCAGCUGGCUGCCAUCUGAGAGCAGAUGCCAAGUGGCUGUCAGAUUGUCAUCUUGAGUUUUAGUAUUCGACUCGUCUUUCUGUGAAUUGGCUUUUGGCCUCUUUUUCCCUAGGAAGAGUUAUGUCUGAGCCAAACAGCCUCAGAUUUAUCUCCUGUAAAAGAAAUGAAAGUAUGAGUCACUAUCGCUUCUGGUGAAAUAAUUUAUAAAUCAGAAUUACUGUGCUUUAAGUGGCUUUCCCACUUCUAUUUCGUUUUAUUUUUUUAUUUUUUUGUAGUUACAUAACGUUUCUUCUGCAGUUCCUAAAAGAAGUAUCGGAAAAACACAUAGAACCACUUCAAACAGUUUACUCAUUCAAUCUGUCCAUUAUGUAAUUAAUUAGAAAAUCUGAGAGAAAUAUAGUUUUUUGAGUUUCUGAGUUCCUGCUGCUCGUAUUUAAAGUUUUAAUAAAAAGGCUGGUUGCAAUGGUCUC